AUGGUCACUGAAGAUGAAGGUGGUGAUCCAACCAUUCAAACACAAGAAGGGCUUGCUCCGACCAAUAAGGUGAUUAGAAACCUGGGGAGGAAGUGGGAGGAGGAGGAGGAGAAACGAGAAGGGGCGGCGGCCAAGAUAAUGGAGGAGUUUGAUGACAUCAUGGCUAAGAAGGAGAAGGCAGAGAGGUUUUGCAUCUUCAUAGAGAUGCAAGACAAGAAUCUCAACCGCCAAGAGAAGAAGUUUGAGAUCAAGGCCGCUUCAGAGGACUUCAAAAUGCUUCGUGAAGACGUCAGACUUGGUCUCGAUGUGGGAGAGAUGGUCCAAGCCUAUCAUGCGCACAUAUUGAAGCGCUUCACGGAAAGGGGGGAGGCUGGACUAGGCAAAGAGUGGGGGUCCUUGACAUGGACAGCCAGACUAGGACCCGAAGAAGGAGCUCUUUGGCACAGACAACCGGACUAG
This 459-nucleotide ribosomal RNA is filed under the name Triticum aestivum (bread wheat). RNAcentral's name for it is "partial small subunit ribosomal RNA". Lineage: Eukaryota; Viridiplantae; Streptophyta; Magnoliopsida; Poales; Poaceae. The record is from RNAcentral.